RNAcentral lists this ribosomal RNA (774 nucleotides) under uncultured Neocallimastigales. RNAcentral's name for it is "partial large subunit ribosomal RNA". It matches the Rfam family "Eukaryotic large subunit ribosomal RNA", at positions 24 to 633 of the family's 3401-position model. Lineage: Eukaryota; Fungi; Neocallimastigomycota; Neocallimastigomycetes; Neocallimastigales. The record is from RNAcentral.
UAUGUGAUCGUCUCUCGCAUAUCAAUAAGCGGAGGAAAAGAAACUAACAAGGAUUCCCCUAGUAACGGCGAGUGAAGCGGGAAGAGCUCAAAUUUGAAAUCUUAAAGGGUUUCCCUUUACGAAUUGUAGUUUAAAGAAGUGUUUUCUGUUGAGGUUUUGGUAAAAGUUCUUUGGAAUAGGACAUCAUAGAGGGUGAGAAUCCCGUAUUUGACCUUUACUUUCAACUUUGUGAUACACUUUCAAAGAGUCGGAUUGUUUGGGAAUGCAGUCCAAAAUGGGUGGUAAAUUUCAUCUAAAGCUAAAUAUUGGCGAGAGACCGAUAGCGAACAAGUACCGUGAGGGAAAGAUGAAAAGAACUUUGAAAAGAGAGUUAAACAGUACGUGAAAUUGUCAAAAGGGAAGCGUUUGACACCAGUGUUGUUUUUCUGAAAAUCAAUUAAAGAACUGUUUAUGCUAAGUUGUUUAGACUUUGUCAGCUAACUGUUUAGUUUUGAGCUUUUCUUUAAUGCACUUUUCAGUUAACAAGUCAACAUCAAUUUCUUUUGCUGUAAAAAAGCUUGAGGAAGGUGGCUUGAGAUUCGUCUUAAGUGUUUAUAGCCUCUUGCCUAUGCAGUCGGAGAGAUUGAGGUCUGCAGCGUAGAUCCUUCGGGGCUAAAUGCAUUUGUGCUAAGUUAUAACAUUUUAUAGACAACUUGUUGACUAUGAUUUGUCUUGUAGCUUACUCGCUUAUGUUAUUUUACCUACGCUUAGGAUGUUGAAGACUCUACAGAGAUA